AGAUCAACCCUAGUGGUUUAGCAAGCCAUAGAAUACUAGAGGCUACAAGAGUUUCUCAGAAACUGAAAUGAAUAAAAUAUGAGAGACUAAGGCUCUAUUUAUAGGCUUUUUCGACUUAAUUUCUAAGCAGCAUCGUGGUGCGUUGGAUUGAUCGUGGUGCGAUGGGAUGGCUGCUUGGUCCUCAAGAUUUGCAGAUUCUGUGCAGAUUUUUUCCAUUCUCAUCGUGGUACGAUAUAACCCAUCGUGGCACGACGUAAACUUCGGAAUUUGAAUUUCUCUCCAACAUCAAAGUUGUAUAUCUUUGUCUUAGCUUUCCAACGCAUGCUCGCAAGCCUCAAUCCGAUAAUCGUAGCUCCAGUUAUGGCCUGCAAAGUGAGAAGAGGUCAAACUGCUGUUUAUUUAUGAAAUAAGUGUGAAAACAAAAUAAAAGCAAAACUAUCCUAAACAUAGGAAACUCAUUGAAAACGCUAGAAAUAAGUGGAGAAAUCAUAUAAAUUUCGUAUCAUAAGAUAGAAGAAAGUGCAUUAUAAAUACACUGAUCACCAACCUUUGAUGUAUUGGUUUAGCAUGCGCCAUGUUCUGUCUUUUCAUUGGCCUUGACUUUGGCCAAUUCUCUUUGGUUCUUCUGAAUGGUAUA
This 637-nucleotide long non-coding RNA is filed under the name Trifolium pratense (red clover). Its description in RNAcentral is "long non-coding RNA (TPRA_LNC006791)". The record is from RNAcentral. Lineage: Eukaryota; Viridiplantae; Streptophyta; Magnoliopsida; Fabales; Fabaceae.